GAUGAACGCUGGCGGCGUGCCUAAUACAUGCAAGUCGAGCGAACGGACGAGAAGCUUGCUUCUCUGAUGUUAGCGGCGGACGGGUGAGUAACACGUGGAUAACCUACCUAUAAGACUGGGAUAACUUCGGGACACCGGAGCUAAUACCGGAUGAUAUUUUGAACCGCAUGGUUCAAAAGUGAAAGACGGUCUUGCUGUCACUUAUAGAUGGAUCCGCGCUGCAUUAGCUAGUUGGUAAGGUAACGGCUUACCAAGGCAACGAUGCAUAGCCGACCUCAGAGGGUGAUCGGCCACACUGGAACUGAGACACGGUCCAGACUCCGACGGGAGGCAGCAGUAGCGAAUCUUCCGCAAUGGGCGAAAGCCUGACGGAGCAACGGCGCGUGAGUGAUGAAGGUCUUCGGAUCGUAAAACUCUGUUAUUAGGGAAGAACAUAUGUGUAAGUAACUGUGCACAUCUUGACGGUACCUGAUCAGAAAGCCACGGCUAACUACGUG
This 497-nucleotide ribosomal RNA is filed under the name uncultured bacterium. Its description in RNAcentral is "partial 16S ribosomal RNA". It matches the Rfam family "Bacterial small subunit ribosomal RNA", at positions 28 to 507 of the family's 1533-position model. The record is from RNAcentral.